This 460-nucleotide ribosomal RNA is filed under the name uncultured bacterium. RNAcentral's name for it is "partial 16S ribosomal RNA". It matches the Rfam family "Bacterial small subunit ribosomal RNA", at positions 338 to 795 of the family's 1533-position model. The record is from RNAcentral.
CCUACGGGAGGCAGCAGUGAGGAAUAUUGGUCAAUGGGCGCAAGCCUGAACCAGCCAAGUAGCGUGAAGGAUGACUGCCCUACGGGUUGUAAACUUCUUUUAUAAAGGAAUAAAGUGAUGCACGUGUACCUUUUUGUAUGUACUUUAUGAAUAAGGAUCGGCUAACUCCGUGCCAGCAGCCGCGGUAAUACGGAGGAUCCGAGCGUUAUCCGGAUUUAUUGGGUUUAAAGGGAGCGUAGAUGGGUUGUUAAGUCAGUUGUGAAAGUUUGGGGCUCAACCGGAAAAUUGCAAUUGAUACUGGCAGUCUUGAGUACAGUAGAGGUAGGCGGAAUUCGUGGUGUAGCGGUGAAAUGCUUAGAUAUGACGAAGAACUCCGAUGGCGAAGGCAGCUUACUAAACUGCCACUGACACUGAUGCUCGAAAGUGUGGGUAGCAAACAGGAUUAGAUACCCGUGUAGUC